Molecule: long non-coding RNA, 808 nt
Organism: Oncorhynchus tshawytscha (Chinook salmon)
Lineage: Eukaryota; Metazoa; Chordata; Actinopteri; Salmoniformes; Salmonidae
Source: Ensembl
AGUAUUUUUCCGUUUACUCCUGAUGAGAAACCAACUGCCACGAAUGAUUUAUCAUCGAAUAGAUAUGUGACAAACACCUUGAGGAUUGAUUCUAAACAACGUUUGCCAUGUUUCUGUCGAUAUUAUGGAGCUAAUUUGUAAAAAAGUUUGGCGUUGUAGUGACUGCAUUUUCGUUUUGUUUUUUUUGCCAAACGUGAUGAACAAAACGGAGCUAUUUCUCCUACACAAAUAAUAUUUUUGGAAAAAAUAAACAUUUGCUAUCUAACUGAGAGUCUCGUCAUUGAAAACAUCCGAAGUUCUUCAAAGGAGUGGGCACCAUAGAAGAAAAGCAAAAAAGGGAGGAAAGAAAAAGAGGUAGAGGCACAGCAACGUACAAUAGAGGUGGGAUACCAUGCUGCUUGUCAAAGCUGCAUUUGAAGAAAGUUACUGCAUAUUUAUCCAACAUGUACAGUAUGGACCAAGGAUUCCCCGGGUUGAGUGAGGUAGACCGUGGACCGACUGAGCCAGCAGUGAUAUUGUUAUAUUUACAUAAAGUGAGAUGUGGAUGACAUUGUAAAACAAAAAAUCACAAAAUAGGUCCAUGUUUUGUUUAUCCUUCAAUGCCUGUUCUGAUAAUACUUACACAACCAACUACAAUUAUAUUCUGAGCAAACAAUAAAAUGGAAAAUCAAUUGUUCACUAUAGUCUACUAUGCUCAGGUUUCUAUCCCAUAUUGAUAACAUCAAUUAAAAUAAAAUAUUAAUGGUCACGUAAACAUAUUUAACAGAUGUUAUUGCGGGCGUAGCAAAAUGCUUGUGUUCCUAGCUCC